This 467-nucleotide ribosomal RNA is filed under the name uncultured bacterium. Its description in RNAcentral is "SSU rRNA". It matches the Rfam family "Bacterial small subunit ribosomal RNA", at positions 26 to 518 of the family's 1533-position model. The record is from RNAcentral.
AGGAUAAACGCUGGCGGCGUGCCUAACACAUGCAAGUCGAACGUCUCUUCUUUCGGGAAGAGGAGUGGCGGACGGGUGAGGAACACGUGGGAACCUGCCCUUUAGUGAGGAAUACCGGCGAGAAAUCGCCGACAAGACCGCAUAGCCCUCUUUGAUGAGAGUCAAAGAAGGAAAGCUUCGCAAGAGGCGCUAGAGGAGGGGCCUGCGUCCGAUUAGCUAGUUGGUGGGGUAAGAGCCUACCAAGGCGUCGAUCGGUAGCUGGUCUGAGAGGACGAUCAGCCACACUGGGAUUGAGAACGGCCCAGACUCCUACGGGGGCAGCAGUGAGGAAUUUUCGGCAAUGGGGGAAACCCUGACCGAGCAACGCCGCGUGCAGGAAGACGGCCUUCGGUGUAAACUGCUUUUCUUGGGAAGAGGAAGGACGGUACCAGAGGAAUCAGCCCGGCUCACUACGUGCCAGCAGCCGC